CUUGUCUGUGUCGUCUGAUGUCAGAAUCUGCUUUGCAGUGAUGCAUGGUCUCCAGCUAUUUAGCAAGGCAUUUUCUGUGGUGUUUUGAAGGAGUUUUGUCCAUAUGGUUCAAAAGGAGGAUUUCACCAUGCAAGCAGAUGUUAAAUAACAGAGAAGCAAGCAGCAGGCAAGUGCUAUAUUUGAAAAAGCAGGAUGGUCCUGGGAAGAGAGGUGAUCUGUUCAAGCACAAACAUCUACAGCAUCCUAUUAACAGAAGCCAAUAUUCCAACUGGCAAGAGAACAGCACCUGUGGCAUUAUCUCUUCAUUUAUCUUCAAUAUGCUUUCAGACAAACAAAUAAAAGAACAUGGUGUGCCUUGACACACAA
Molecule: long non-coding RNA, 366 nt
Organism: Hemicordylus capensis (graceful crag lizard)
Lineage: Eukaryota; Metazoa; Chordata; Lepidosauria; Squamata; Cordylidae
Exons: 2
Source: RefSeq, a predicted model, not a curated record